UUUCCGGACAAGACAUUAAAGAAGAGGAAGUGGACAAUGAACUUGUGGCUGUUGUUGGAGCCGCAGAGCCUGAAGAAAUUAAAUCAGGCACAAACGUGACACCAGAACCUCUCCUGGCUCCCUCUGUUUCCGG
Molecule: long non-coding RNA, 133 nt
Organism: Pseudopipra pipra
Lineage: Eukaryota; Metazoa; Chordata; Aves; Passeriformes; Pipridae
Exons: 3
Source: RefSeq, a predicted model, not a curated record